This 124-nucleotide ribosomal RNA is filed under the name Jaculus jaculus (lesser Egyptian jerboa). Lineage: Eukaryota; Metazoa; Chordata; Mammalia; Rodentia; Dipodidae. The record is from RNAcentral.
GUCUAUGGCCAUGCCACCUUGAACACACCCCAUCUCAUCUGAUCUCAGAAGCUAAGCAGGGUCAAGCCUGUUUAGUACUUAGAUAGGAGGAGGGAUUAAAGAGGGAUAGGAGCAGCCUGAGGCA